GAUAAACGUUGGCGGUGUGCUUUAUGCAUGCAAGUCGUACGAUUCUGCUUGCAGAAUAGUGGCGAACGGGUGAGUAACACGUAAGUAACCUGCCCUUAAGUGGGGGAUAACCCCGGGAAACUGGGGCUAAUACCGCAGUGGUGGUACGGCAUAAGCCGUAUCACUAAAGCCUUUGGGCGCUUGAGGAGGGGCUUGCGUUCGAUUAGCUUGUUGGUGAGGUAACGGCCCACCAAGGCGACGAUCGAUAGCUGGUCUGAGAGGAUGAUCAGCCACACUGGGACUGAGACACGGCCCAGACUCCUACGGGAGGCAGCAGCAAGGAAUAUUGCGCAAUGGGCGAAAGCCUGACGCAGCGACACCGCGUGGGGGAUGACGGCCUUCGGGUUGUAAACCCCUUUUCUCGGGGAAGAAAAAAAUGACGGUACCCGAGGAAUAAGUCCCGGCUAACUACGUGCCAGCAGCCGCGGUAAUACGUAGGGGGCAAACGUUAUCCGGAUUUACUGGGCGUAAAGAGCGCGUAGGCGGUCUGGCAAGUCGGAUGUAAAAUCUCCCGGCUCAACUGGGAGGGAUCAUUCGAUACUGCCAGACUAGAGGUCAGCAGAGGAAAGUGGAAUUCCCGGUGUAGUGGUGAUGUGCGUAGAUAUCGGGAGGAACACCAGUGGCGAAGGCGGCUUUCUGGGCUGCACCUGACGCUGAGGCGCGAAAGCGUGGGGAGCGAACAGGAUUAGAUACCCUGGUAGUCCACGCAGUAAACGAUGGACACUAGGUAUGGGGGGCAUCGACCCUCUCCGUGCCGUAGCUAACGCAUUAAGUGUCCCGCCUGGGGAGACGGUCGCAAGAUU
RNAcentral lists this ribosomal RNA (842 nucleotides) under uncultured Chloroflexota bacterium. RNAcentral describes it as "bacterial SSU rRNA". It matches the Rfam family "Bacterial small subunit ribosomal RNA", at positions 28 to 895 of the family's 1533-position model. Lineage: Bacteria; Bacillati; Chloroflexota. The record is from RNAcentral.